Molecule: long non-coding RNA, 2505 nt
Organism: Nomascus leucogenys (northern white-cheeked gibbon)
Lineage: Eukaryota; Metazoa; Chordata; Mammalia; Primates; Hylobatidae
Exons: 3
Source: RefSeq, a predicted model, not a curated record
GGAUUACAGGCGUGAGCCACCGCACCCAGCCUCCUAACUGAUGUUUCAGUUUGGAUCUGAAGAACAGGAAUUUUCAUAAUUUCUUUUUCAAGGUUUUCGAAAAUUAGUUUGUUGCCAUUUCCGAACUUCCAUCCCAUUGUGAUGUGCAUAACCAGUCGGCUUCCUUAGCCUCAUCCUCCACCCAGAGAAGCUCCGACCAUGCCAGAACCAGGAAGGCCAGCCGGGGAGCAGCCUGGCCCAGGGGUCAGGAGCCGGGGCCUGUGUGGCCAGCACCUGGUGGAUGUGAGCCCCAGGACAGGGAGUUUCUGUGCCCAGGAGAUGGAAGCAGCUCACUUCUCCGCCCCUUUCAAGAAUCUGGGAAGAGCUCCAGGAGUCAGAGGUCUGGAUGCCAGUCCCAGCUCUGCUCCAAACUGGCCAUGUGACCUCAGCGAAGUUAUUUCCCAGCUUUGUUUUCUUCUUUUACAAAAUGACAGGGUGAGAGUCGUGAUUGGUUUCCUCGGUGUCAGAAGUGCAGGACACUGAACUCUGUUAGAAAGAGUCUCAGGUUGUUUUGUUUGACAGUGACUACCCACUUUGCAGAGACGUGGGCUGCUUGCUCUCUGGGGAAUACUGGAGGUUAUGCCCCAUCUCCUGUCCUGUGGGAGAACCCACCCUCCGAACGAGGCUCUGGUGAGGUUUUCACAAUCAGUAACAAGGAUGAUCUCCAUCGAUGGAAGUCUCCCUGUUUGAGAUGGGGUGCGUGCUCCCCACCCAGGCUCCUGAACAAAACCCACCUCCUUGUCUUGGCACCACUGAGAGUGCACACCGAGGGGGCUCUGGCACCAGAUUGUGGGAACGGUCAUGAGAAAGGAGCUCAGACUUCACACCCAGAGCCCUUGAUCCCUACACACUCAGUAUUCCUUCACAGCGCUCUUCCUGCUUCCUAGACAUGUGGAACUGCUUCUCCAUUGGGGAGGAUCCAUCCAGAGCCCUUUGGGUGGGUCCUCAGGGCAAUAGCUGCUGCCUCUUCCUUCUGCUCAGCGCUGGGAGGCUUUACACUCUCCCCAUAUGGCACAGAGCAGAACGUGCACCUUUGGCUCUGGAAGGAAUGAACAUCCUGCCCGUUAGUCAGCCCUGGGAGUCACUGACUCAGUUCUUCCCUGGUCACCAAUGUCCUACAGAGCACACAGAAAGCCACGGAAGUGUGGUCUGCGGCUUGAGGUGGGUAUUCAGAUGCCAGCCUGCAGCCCACUUACAUUGUUUCUUUUGGACUGACACCUUGCGGGAUGCUCGGAUGCCCACAGCGCAGGGGAAGGGACGGCCUAGAGUCCGAGAUGUGGGCGGGGAGCUGGCCCCUGUCCAUUGCCGCAGCUCUGCAGCAGCAGGACAGCCCUGGGAGGUGGAGAUGGACUCCGUUCAUUUGGAUAAGCAGAGGAAACUUGGCAGAAACGACCAAAUGCAAAAUACGUGUCGCAGCCUGAGAUCAGCCGUCUACUGAAACAAAGGAUGCAGUUCAGUCGGAAACCAUGCUUAGCUGUGUUGCUGUCUUUAGCCAUCAAGGCCCUGAGAACCAAUGAACAAUCCAGCUUGGCCGCUUAGAACAUUUUUUCUAUACUUGAGUUAAAUAGAUAUCCAAGAACCAUUACUCAUUUUUAAUGUGGAGAAGUCAGUAUUCUAUUCUCGUAUUCUAUGUUUUUUAAAGUGGCAAUUUGAAUUAUUUCGUGCAAUAGAAAACCUUAAACACAAAGUAACGUUUCUAACAAAAGGGCUGUCGAUCAAGUGACAAACACGUCCUACUUUAGAUACGAGCACGACUGAGGCAACAGCAUGAAAACGCCUAAAAUGGGCUGCUGGGGAGACAAGAUCUGGCCGCGAAUGGAACUCACAGCAGCUCAUUAACGGGACCGUCCGGCAGGAAGGUCUCAGGGCACUCUCGCCCCCACUCACUUUGAUGAAGCCAGUGCUGGGUCGCCUGCCGAGGUGGGGAGGCUCAUGGGCCAGGAACUGAAGACAGCUGUGAGAGCCAGACCGCUCCACCACCCCCAAGACAGCAGGGAACUCACUCCAACAGCCACCCUGGGAUGCUGCCACAGCUGAGCCUGGAGGUGACCAUGACCCUGGCUGACAUCGGACUGCAGCUUUGUAAGAGAGACUGAGCCGGGACCCAGACCUACAAAAGCUGAGAUGAUAAACACUGUUUUAAGCUGCUGUGUGUCGCAGCGACUCGUGUGGCAGUGGAUUUCUAGCAGAGCCGUCAUUCGUGUCUGGCUUCUCUCAGCUCAACACUCUGUAGAGCCACCCACGCUGCUGUGCAUGUCAGCAGUGGACUUUUUAUUGCUGAGUAAUAUUUCAUUCCAUUGCAUGCUCACACCUCACUUUGUUUAACUGUCUACCUGUUGAUGAGCUCGGGGACAUAUGCAGUUCUGGGCUAUUAUAAGUAAAGCUGCUUUUAACAUUUAAAUACAAGUCUGUGUAUGGACACAUGUUUUCAUUUCUUUUGAAUAAAUAUGUGUGGGAUUACUGGGU